CUUUCUCUUCUUCUGCUUCUCCCUUUCCCUCUUUCUCUCCCGCACGAACUCAACUCACUGAGUCAAGUCCAGUCAAGUUCCUUUCCACUCUCUUUUCUUUCUUCCCCCGCCCCCCCCCCCUCAACCCUAUGCCCUUUUUCGUCUUUUCCUCUGCAAUUUCCAUCCAAGGGCUCCCAUCCUUCCACGUCACUUCCGUCUUCUUCAACUCCCCCCCUUCCCCUUCCCCUGAUCCCCUCAUCUCCUUCCUCUUUUAUUUCAAAAACUCCCUUUAGGGUUUCUCAGAUUUAACUCUCUCUUCUUCUUCUUCUUCUUCUUCUUUUUGCUUUUUUUUUCCUCCUUAUUUUUCUUGAUUAGAAAAUUAGAAGAAAAGGAGAUCUCCAAAUCUUCAAUUUCGCCGCUGAUAUUUCUUCACUUCCUUUCGGACGAGGUUUCUGAUGAGUUCGUUGUACUCGGAAAACGGUGAAAAUAAUUCUUUUUGAAAUAUUAAAUUGGUAGAAUUGAGGAUUAGAUUUUUUUUUUUUUGUGCUUAAGGUUAUGAUGGCGAUUGAGAAGAGUAAUUCCAAAGUUUCACCCUUUGAUUCGGAGUUUUCGCCUGGUAGUAGAGAGAUGACUGUGUCAAGUGAUGAGGACGAGCUUCAACGUCCAAGCUCAGCCGUUGAUUCUGAUGAUGAAUUUGACGAUGAUGCUGAUUCAGGAGCAGGUUCGGAUGACUUUGAUUUGUUGGAAUUAGGUGAAACCGGGGCUGAAUUUUGCCAAGUCGGGAACUCGACCUGUUUGGUUCCUUUUGAGUUAUAUGAUCUUUCUGGAUUGGAAGAUAUUUUGUCUCUUGAUGUGUGGAAUGAAUGUUUAAGUGAUGAAGAGAGGUUUAGCCUUACUAGGUUUUUACCUGAUAUGGAUCAGGAUACCUUUAUGCGGACCUUGAUCGACAUUUUUAAGGGUAAUAAUCUUCACUUUGGGAGUCCUAUUAAGAGUUUGUUUGAUAUGUUGAAAGGAGGGUUGUGUGAGCCGAGGGUUGCACUUUAUCGGGAGGGCAUGAAUUUCUUUCGAAAGCAGCAGCAUUACCAUCAUCUGAGGAAGCAUCAGAAUACUAUGGUUGUCAAUCUUAUUCAAAUGAGGGAUGCUUGGCUUAAUUGUAGGGGAUACAGUAUUGAGGAGCGGCUUCGUGUUUUGAAUAUUAUGAGAAGUCAAAGUAGUUUGAUGUAUGAGAAGUUGGAAGAUAAGGAUUCUGCAUCCUCUGAUGGAGAGGAUUUGGUUGAUGGUUUUUGGAGCAAAAGAGUUAAGGACUGGAAAGCUCCACAGAAAUCAGGUCGCUACUCUGGCUUUGGGGUUGAACCAGUUUUAGAGUUUGCAUCGCGAGGACAGCUGAUGGAUUUGGAACCAUCAAAAUACAGGAAGCAGAAUCCAAAAGGCAAACUGAAGACAGGUGAGUCAAAACUUCCUUUUGCAAGAGAGUUUGGCAGCUGCUUUUCCCCUGAUUUAGAUAUGAAUUCUGAGCCAUAUGGUUUGCCAGGAACACUUCCUCGAGAGAAAUAUGAGUCUGCAGCACUCAGGGCAAGGGAUUGGAUGAGGUUAGAUGAUGCUGAAGACCCAAUGUUUGGAACAGGUAUUCAGCGAAACCAAAAUGCUCUCGAUGAUAGCAUCAUGGGCAAAUCUGGUUCUUCGAGAGCAAGGAAGAAGUACAAUCUUUUAAGAGGGGAAGAAUUAGCCACUGAUAGUUUCAUGGCUUCGCCUUUGUCUUCAAAGCAUGCUUUCCUUUCCUAUGGUAGGAAUAGGAAUGCGAACGCUUCAAAGCCUCCUAAUAUGAGAACAUCUUAUAAUUUUCCCAAAAAGUCCAAGCGUUUCAAAAACGACCCACUAUUUGCAGCCGGAGAUCAAAUAAAGUCUAUAAAAGGCCGAAUUCCUUCACUGCCAUUGCAAGGGAGUCGAGUUGACUUAUCUGGGCGCACUGAACUGUUUUGGCAAAAUGAAAACCAAGGAGAAGAUUUCUCUGUGGAUUUGUCUGUUAGACCUGAUGAUUGGAAUAUUAAGCACAAGAAAUGGAAAACACUGCGGGAGUCUCCUGAUCUCAGUUUUAAAUCUUAUAAAGCUUCCUCACCACUGAUGAGUGACCAAUUCUUGAAAUCUGACAGUAGAAAGAAAACAUCGCAGGAGAAGAUUAGAGGGAACCAUUUGCAAAAUGGAGGAGCAGUUAUGGCCCUUUCAAAAGGUAGUAGAGCAUUUAUUAAAAACGAAGAAACAGAAUCUGACUCAUCUGAGCAAUUUGAUGAUGAGGAGGAGAGCAACCCUCUAAUGAGAGGCAAGUUGGCAUACACCAGUGGCGUCGUAGAAAAUCCUCGCCUGUCUUCAUUGAAUUCUGGCCUUGAUUCUAAGAAGACCAAAUCUUCAAAGAAAUAUACUAUGAAGGAUGGAUGGCCUCUUGAUGGAAUGAACCGCUACUCCAAAAAGAGCUUUGAGGAAAAUGUGCACGUGGCAGGAGUAGAAAGCUACUAUUCGGAAAGAAAACAGAAGGGUAAGAUGCAUGAAAGCAGUCCCUUGCCUAACUCUGGUUCUAGAGUUUUCGAUGAGGUUGGUGGGAAACAAGUUUCCAAGUUGGUCAAGAAUGGCCAUUUACGAGGGGAACCUGGUGACAGGUUACGUAGGUCCUCAUUGAGGGCCUACCCUACUGAGAAAAGGCAGAACGGUGAACUUGCCUAUGAUCAUUUUAUUACUCAGUCAAAUUAUCAGCAUGAUUAUCUUGAUGAGGAGGAUGGUUCACCUGUGGCACUAUCAUUGGCAGAUGAAUUUAACCUGGGUAGAACUGGGAAGAAAAGACAGAACACUGAAGCAUAUGAUCGCUGUCAGAAGUCUGAAGCUUCGUUGCUAGGGAGCAACAAAGUGACAAAGAAGAAGAAAGGGAAGAGGUACAUGGAAGAUGUCAACGGAAGAGGUGAAGAUGGCAACGUGCAGCCUAACCCCCAGCAGCAAACUGAUGAUUCUCCUUUCGUGAAGAAAAAGGGAAAACGGAAAUUGGAGGUUGAUACAGUUACUUCAGAUAUGGAACCUUCUGAGCCUCAUGGUGCAGAUCUGGGAACCACAGAUUUGGAGAUGGAAACCAAACCACAGAAAAAGCCAUUUACUUUGAUUACCCCUACCAUUCAUACUGGAUUCUCAUUCUCAAUUAUACAUCUUCUUUCUGCAGUUCGUAUGGCAAUGAUUACUCCAUUUCCUGAAGAUUCCUUAGAGGUUGGUAAACCUAGAGAGGAGCAGAAUGGAAAGCAGCAAGGUGAUCUGAAUGGGGUUCUCUCAUGUGACAACACAGUUACCAAUAGUUCAGACCAUCUUGUGCAACCAAGUGUGCCUUUUCUUACCGUUCAUGAUAUUGUUCAUCGCGUGGCAGUAAAUCCUGGAGAUCCGUGUAUCCUUGAGACAGAAGAGCCACUUCAAGAUUUAGUUCGGGGAGUUCUGAAGAUUUUCUCAUCAAAAACAGCACCUUUGGGAGCAAAAGGUUGGAAGGUACUUGUUGCCUAUGAGAAGUCCACAAAAAGCUGGUCUUGGGUUGGCCCUGCUAUGCAUAGCUCAAACAAUGUUGAGACUGCUGAGGAGGUGAUAUCACCCGAAGCCUGGGGUCUUCCUCACAAAAUGCUUGUCAAGUUGGUUGAUUCUUUUGCAAAUUGGCUAAAAAAUGGUCAAGAGACUCUCCAACAAAUAGGAAGUCUUCCUGCACCUCCGCUUGAACUGAUGCAAGUCAACUUAGAUGAGAAAGAAAGGUUCAGAGACCUAAAAGCUCAGAAAAGCCUUAACACCAUUAGCUCAAGUUCUGAAGAAGUGAGAGCUUAUUUCCGUAGGGAGGAGCUUCUUAGGUAUUCUAUUCCUGACAGGGCCUUCUCUUACACAGCUGCUGAUGGAAAAAAGUCUAUAGUUGCUCCCUUGAGAAGAUGUGGAGGUAAGCCAACUUCAAAGGCUCGAGACCAUUUUAUGCUGAAACGUGAUCGGCCACCGCAUGUUACAAUUCUUUGUCUUGUGAGAGAUGCUGCUGCCAGGUUGCCCGGAAGUAUUGGCACACGUGCAGAUGUUUGUACUUUGAUAAGAGACUCUCAGUAUGUCGUUGAAGAAGUUUCUGAUGCACAAGUAAACCAGAUUGUUAGUGGAGCCUUAGACCGCUUGCACUAUGAACGUGAUCCUUGUGUACAAUUUGAUGGAGAGAGGAAAUUGUGGGUUUAUUUGCAUAGAGAAAGAGAAGAAGAAGAUUUUGAGGAUGAUGGAACUUCAUCUACUAAGAAAUGGAAGAGGCCGAAAAAGGAUACUGCUGAGCAAUCCGUUCAAGUAGCUGUAACGGUGGCUUUUCAUGACACUGGGGAUCAGUCGGGAUUUGAAUUAGGCUCUGAGCUUAAUGUUGAACAUUCAUGCAUUGACAAUGAUAAAAAGAUGGAGAUGGAGUGUUGUGAUAGACAAAAUGCGGAGGAUAAUGCUGACUCUAGUCAUGAGUCUGAGCAAUGUACCACUCAGCAGGAUCAUCCAAUGACAUUGGAGCCUCCUGACCUAAAUCCUGUGCAAGAUGGCGAAUUACAAUGUCAAGAAAAUUCCACUAAUGAAGAUAUUGAUGAUAUUGAUGAUGGUAGAGAAAAACCAGUUGAACACCUCGAUGCAAGCUUAUUAUGAUCAAAUACUUGAGGGCAAAGUCCAGCUUAGGUAGGGUAGAAAGCUUUCAAGGAAUUUUGUAGAAUGUUCAGUGCCUACUUAAAAGCAAUCCAUUGCAAACAGAAUACUGAUGCCAGGGAAAAUUGUGCUUAAAUACAUCAUCAUGACAAACAUCUCUUCUUGAAUUCUUAUCAUGUGGGGAUAAUACUGAAAAAAGGGAUCAUCUAUCUCGUGAAGGCCAGUUUUCAAAGCAACCCACUCUCAAAGAGUACACUAGCUACUGGAAGUUCCAAGCAGCAUGACUCUUGGCAGGUAGCUUUGCAUUGAGCUGUAAGGAGAGCUAGAACAAUAAACACUGGUUUUUCGUCUUGCCUGGAACUCGUGUAUUUACAUGAUUUGGUAGGAAUAGGUACUUGAAUUCAAUGUAGUAGCUAAUGUACUCUCUGAGAGUGGGUUUGUAACCAUUGUCAAACUUUGUUGCAAAACUUUGCUUACUUGAAUUAUCGGGAAAAACAAAAAAAACAAAAGAAGGAAAACCAACCAUACCAAUUUUGAAGAACA
RNA transcript from Gossypium raimondii (Peruvian cotton), 5178 nucleotides. RefSeq lists it as uncharacterized. The record is from RefSeq and is a predicted model, not a curated record. The transcript is spliced from 4 exons. NCBI's taxonomy places the organism in Eukaryota, Viridiplantae, Streptophyta, Magnoliopsida, Malvales, Malvaceae.